GGGGGUGAGAUACGAGUGAUAAGGAUCCCAUAUGAGACUUGAGCUGAUGCAUGCCUACAUGUAAGUGUUGAAAAAAAUAUCUCAAGAUUCGAUCUAUAAUAAGACAAGAAUGAGAUUUAGGAUGACAAAUGGAGUCCAACGAGCCUAAGAAUAGUCCAAAUAGAGUCCAGACGAUGAAGAUACAUACGAAGAAAGUCUGAGAGUAGAUGGUAUGGCCCAUGGGCCAUUGGAGGGGCCCACGGGCUGGUGCAGGCCGACG
This 259-nucleotide long non-coding RNA is filed under the name Elaeis guineensis (African oil palm). RNAcentral's name for it is "long non-coding RNA (EGUI_LNC041269)". Lineage: Eukaryota; Viridiplantae; Streptophyta; Magnoliopsida; Arecales; Arecaceae. The record is from RNAcentral.